This 253-nucleotide ribosomal RNA is filed under the name uncultured bacterium. RNAcentral's name for it is "partial 16S ribosomal RNA". It matches the Rfam family "Bacterial small subunit ribosomal RNA", at positions 524 to 776 of the family's 1533-position model. The record is from RNAcentral.
UACGUAGGGUGCAAGCGUUGUCCGGAAUUAUUGGGCGUAAAGAGCUCGUAGGCGGUUUGUCGCGUCGACUGUGAAAUCCCGGGGCUCAACCCCGGGUCUGCAUUCGAUACGGGCAGACUAGAGUUCGGUAGGGGAGUCUGGAAUUCCUGGUGUAGCGGUGAAAUGCGCAGAUAUCAGGAGGAACACCGGUGGCGAAGGCGGGACUCUGGGCAGAUACUGACGCUGAGGAGCGAAAGCGUGGGGAGCAAACAGG